RNAcentral lists this ribosomal RNA (119 nucleotides) under Scophthalmus maximus (turbot). Lineage: Eukaryota; Metazoa; Chordata; Actinopteri; Pleuronectiformes; Scophthalmidae. The record is from RNAcentral.
UUUUACGGCCACACCGCCUGGUUCACGCCCGAUCUCGUUUGAUCUCGGGAAGCUAAGAUAGGGUGGGCCUGGUUAGUACUUGGAUGGGAGACCGCCUGGGAAUACCAGGUUUGUAAGAU